UACAUCUCACUUUUUUUCUUUUUUUAUGUUUUCCUAAAGUACCCUCUUCUCUUUUUAAUAUUUUCCUACACAACACCCCUCAUUAAAUGAGGGUUGUGUGGUCAGUUAAUACCUUGACGCACUACACACACCAACGUUUUCCCAAUAUAUAAGAGGACCUCUCGUCUUUCAUCAUCACAACAUAGCCGCUGCAUCUAAACCUACUCGGUCUCACCACCCUCCGUUUUUCAAACUCUCCAUCCUUUUCACUCAUUAAUAAACCAUGAUAGGUCCCUUUGGUCCACCAUGAACAUCAAGCAGAAGAAUUGAACUAUCUCGCAGCUGGCCAUAACCAUGAACAAGCCUAGAGCCUUCAUGCAUGGCAAAAUACUAGUUAACAGUUACAUACACAAGAAGUGUAUAUUAGACCACUGUAAAUCAGCUUACUAAACAUAUAUAUCUCUGGCAAUCAUUCACAUGGAAAUCUAAUAAUCACUUCCUUGAAUGUAACUGUUAAUGCUUGUGAUGAUGCCAGAAACAAAAGAGAUGCUGACAAGCAGUCAACAGCACGUAAUGUCGAUUCUAGGUAUCUAUGCUUUAUUAUAUAUUUUUAAUUUUUUCUUCUUUUGGUUUUACUGUGAAUUAUUGAAAUGAAAAAAUAUAUAUAUAAAGUAGAUGGUGCUACGUCAGGAUUACCUUUGAGAUACCUAGAAACUCUCUCCAAAGGACACCUCCGUCAAGUAGUAGUGAUGGAUUCAGCACAAGAGUCAGUGAGGAUAAUUUAUUUUUAUAAAAUAAUUAUUAUUAUUAUUAUCAUACAUAUGAAAAGGAAACGUGAAACAUAAUCAAUUGUACAAUAAAAUAAUUGCCGCUAAAAUCUUUAAUGGUAUUUCAUAUUGCCGCUAAAAGAAAAAACAAUUGCCACCGUAUGUCAUUGGAGUAGUGUGUUUGAUAAAAUUUAAAAGACCCAAAGAACAAAAUUUGACAAAAGGUUGAAAAAAAUGAGGGACAAAAGGAUAAAAACACUGGAAAUGAACUUGUAUUUUUUUUCCUGAAAUCAAUUAUAUGACCCAUUAGCAUGCUAUUAGUAACAAACCAUGGUAAAUAUAACAUACAAUUGGGAAUUAGCUACUAAACAUACAACUAAUCCCUAUGAUCGCUUAAAUAUUUUUAACAAAACUGUAAUAUACCAGGAGCCAUGGCAUGGACAAGCAUCAAGGGACCAAAAAAUAGGCUAAGUACAAAGAAAGUGAGAGAGUUUCUCAUUUCUAUAACCAAAUUAACGAAACCAAGAUUUUAUCUUGUUGGUAUUCUACCUUCUUUUAAUUACCACAUAAUUGAAUCUCUGUUGUCAUUUUGGCAAUGUUAG
Molecule: long non-coding RNA, 1348 nt
Filed under: Glycine max (soybean)
Lineage: Eukaryota; Viridiplantae; Streptophyta; Magnoliopsida; Fabales; Fabaceae
Description: long non-coding RNA (GMAX_LNC002086)
Source: RNAcentral